RNAcentral lists this ribosomal RNA (95 nucleotides) under Paenibacillus macerans. Lineage: Bacteria; Bacillati; Bacillota; Bacilli; Caryophanales; Paenibacillaceae. The record is from RNAcentral. RNAcentral also lists the same sequence under 3 other names.
UUCCACGCGUACCCAUCCCGAACACGACCGUUAAGCCCUCCAGCGCCGAUGGUACUUGGACCGAAGGGUCCUGGGAGAGUAGGACGCCGCCAAGC